ACAAUUCAAAUAUUUCUUUUAAUAUUCUAAAACAUUCUUAUGAUUAGCUUUAUGAAUAACACUAUUAUAGACCUAGCUGGUGUAAUCGAAAGAGAAUGGAUUUUGUCAUCCUACAGACCUGAAUUUUAACCACCCUCUGCCCUUCACUAGUUCUAUAACCUUGAGCAACUUAUUUAACUUUCUAAGCUCAGGCUUCCUACUCCAUUUGCUAUAGAUACGACUGUCUCAUUGAGCUGUUGGUAGAAUGAUGGCGGAAAUCAUAUAUAAAGGGAAAAACAGGGCUUGGCCUUUCCCAGGUUUCUUCUUGAGGACAGAUGGAAGACUAGUUGAAUGCUUGAUAGCAUUCAGCCAGCUCAAUUUUCAGAAUGUUCAGAAAUGUAGGCUCCAAUGAACAACCUAGCAAGCUAGACAAAUGUCAGAAUUUUGGGUUUGAGCCAGGUUUUUUUUUUGUUUUUGGCAGUCAUCCAUGUCAUAUUUUUAAGGGCCCUAACACCGGAAGUCAGAAAUAAAGGAAAAGCAUAGUACUAGUUGAGAGGAUUACAUAGGCUUAUAGAAGAAGCUAAUCAAAUGGAAUUGGUGUGAGCUAUAUACUAACAUAGUUUCAAGGGCAGAGGAUUUUAAAUCUACUCUUAACGUGCCUACCUCUGUAGCCUUCGGUGUUCCUUUUAGCUAUUUUAAUGGUAAAUAAUGCUUCUCAUGAAUAUUGAAAUAUCUCAUGCAAAAAUGAGUCUUCUGGAAACAUUUUCCAUUCUUUUUUUGGGUUAGAACUUUGAACAACUUUCUUUGUGAUUAGAUGUAAAGGCGUUAUUUCCUUUUUUCUCUUGGUUAUAUAGGAUGUAAGUCUUUCAGACAUUAAAAUGUCAAGAACCCACAUGGAUGUGGAUGAGAUCCCUGAAGAGAAAUGUCAAAAUGCCUCACCUUUUGACUCUGUUAAUGAAGGCUCUCUUUAUAUGAUGUGUGUUGUCAUGGUGAUGAGGAACAAGGACAGAAUUCGGAAGGGAUUAGAGAAGACAUCAUAGCGUGGUAAAGGGGCUUAGCAUAUAUAAGCUGUGGAGAAAAGUGCAUCACACAGUCUCGGACAUCACACAGCCUGCUUACAGGGUGAAGAUGUAAAGAAUAUGGUCAACCAGUCUGAAGAUGAAUUAAACCAAUAGGGACAGUGACUACAUAAGGUGGCAGUUUGGGAGGAAUGAUGCUGACAGCGAUAUUAUUGUCAUACAGCUCUGCUUCCCCGGGAGGAUUAUAAGAUGCUUUCAAACUACCAAAGAAUGUGGUCAGUUUCUACCAUGUCAAUGCACUGGGAUGUUUAUAGUGGCUGUAGACGGGUGCUCACACACUAAUCUCAAUCAACGAUAAGAAGGGUAGAGCCAAGUUACUCACCUAGGUGUAUGCUAUUAAAUGGAGUUGGAUACUCCAUUGUUUGCAGUCACCGCCUACAACAAGGCAUUCUAAAAGAUGCCAAUGACUGAUGCUUUUGCCAGGACUACAGGAAGGAAAAGGACUGAAAUCAUGUUCAAUCUGGACUCUAUGUCUGUGGACCAGUCUUGGAAGCAGGCACAUCUCAGAAUCUACCCUGCCACCUACUGAGCUGAGUAAACCAAUGAAAUGUUGAAUACAAAAGACAUGAACACCAAGAAUUGAAUAUGGAUGAUAGAAUUUACACCAUGGGAUUGGUUCACCAGAGGAGCAAUGAGAAGCAGUGAGCUCACUCCCUAAUUGUGAAGCUGACCAUCACUGCUAUGAACUGUCCCCUUGAACCUCGAUUCAAACCAUUUCCUACUGAAGAUUAAAUUUUAAGAGACUUGUUAGAAAAAUAUCAGGAUGCUGGUGGGGGGGUUGUGAUUUUCCUAUAGCUUUUAUAAUAAACGGUUACAAAUUUUAGUCAAGUCUAGACUGUUGGAAAGUUGAAAGAGAAGAAAAUGCAACCUUGUUAAGGGAGGCCUUUUUGGCCAACAGGGAGCAAUCUGAGAUAAAUUGAGAUUCAAAAAUAUAUAUCCUGCAAAAUGGUUGGAAAAGCUAAAUUUUCUGGCUCUAGGCAGUCAACAAAAAUGAAAGCAGAAAUGCAGGAAACUCAGUAAUUAGUUUCCUAUUACUGCUGUAUUGAGUCACCACAAAUUGGUGGCUGUAAAACAGCACAAAUUUAUUCUCAUUCAGUCCUGGAGGUGAGAAGUCUAAAUCAAGUGUUGGCAGGGCUGGGUUCCAUUUGGAGGCUUCAGAGGAGAAUCUGUUUCCCCUCCUUUUUCACCUUCUAGAGGCGGCUAGAGCACACAAACUCAGGAUCCCUUCCUGGGAUCACUACAGCGUCUAGUUUCCCUGCCCCAUAUCCAACGACCCUCUCUGACCUUCUUGCUUCCCUCUUAUCCGAGCCCUUGUGAUCAUCACAUUGGAUCCACGCUGAUAUUCCAGGAUACUCUCUCCAUCUCAGGAUCCUUAAUUUAAUCACAUCUACAAAGUUCCUUUUACCAUGUAAGGAAACAAUUCACAGGUUCUGAGAAUUGGAAUGAGGACAUCUUUGGGAGGUGGUCACCAUUUAGCCUACCAUACUUAGCUAGAGGUAUUGGGAGACCCAGAAAAAGGUUGGACCCUAAGGUCCACCCAACUACCUCCUAAUAUACACCUUCUGCAUGAUCAAAAGAGGGAAGUCCUCGAUAACAUUGUUUAAAUCUUUGGAUCCAGACUAGUACAAAGCCAACUCUGGAUUUGCCAGUUAAAUGAUCUGUUAUUAUAAAUUUUAAGAUUCUCUAAAUUGAAUUUCUGUAAUCUGCAGCUCAAACAGGCCUGAUGUGUAUAC
Molecule: non-coding RNA, 2791 nt
Organism: Microcebus murinus (gray mouse lemur)
Lineage: Eukaryota; Metazoa; Chordata; Mammalia; Primates; Cheirogaleidae
Source: RefSeq, a predicted model, not a curated record